This is a non-coding RNA of Durotheca rogersii, 149 nucleotides long. The record is from the annotation of a RefSeq genome assembly. Lineage: Eukaryota; Fungi; Ascomycota; Sordariomycetes; Xylariales; Xylariaceae.
GGUCGGCUGGUGUAGUGGUUAACACAUCUGUCUUACAUUAUGUCUUGAUUGCUAAGGCCAGAUAUUAGCGAAGAGCGUGUUCUAUCUGGCCCAGCGUUCUAAGCGUGUGUGAUCACAGAAGGUCGCAGGUUCAAUCCCUGCGCCGACCA